AAGCUGCGAUAAGUAAUGUGAAUUGCAGAACUCAGUGAAUCAUCGAGUCUUCGAACGCAUAUUGCGCCCCCUGGCAUUCCGGGGGGCACGCCUGUCCGAGCGUCGUCAAGGUCUACGUUCGGGCGACCCCUGGAGGGUCUCGAAAACCUCCCGGUGGGUCGCCCGGCCUUGGGUCGACCGCCCUCCUCGUCGAGGGCGGGGCCCGCAAGGCAAGAAAGUCGGUCCGUCCCUGGGAAAGAACCCCGAGCGCAGCGGCUGUCCCAGCUCGAGGAGGUUCCUUCCCGGGUCUCAAAGACAAUGACGGUGUCCGUGGGACACUCGGUGCAAUGAGCUUCUAGGAGCACGCAUCGAGGUCUACAGGACCUUCGGGGCCGAUCUUCCUGUUUUACUCUUCUCAGGUUGACCUCGGAUCAGGUAGGAAUACCCGCUGAACUUAAGC
Molecule: unclassified non-coding RNA, 439 nt
Filed under: plant metagenome
Description: partial contains 5.8S ribosomal RNA, internal transcribed spacer 2, and large subunit ribosomal RNA
Rfam family: 5.8S ribosomal RNA (bases 1-105)
Source: RNAcentral